Molecule: unclassified non-coding RNA, 387 nt
Filed under: soil metagenome
Description: partial contains 5.8S ribosomal RNA, internal transcribed spacer 2, and large subunit ribosomal RNA
Rfam family: 5.8S ribosomal RNA (bases 1-120)
Source: RNAcentral
GAUGAAGAACGCAGCGAAAUGCGAUAAGUAAUGUGAAUUGCAGAAUUCAGUGAAUCAUCGAAUCUUUGAACGCACCUUGCGCUCCUUGAUAUUCCGAGGAGCAUGCCUGUUUGAGUGUCAUGAAAUUCUCAACCUUUUCAGCUUUCUUUGUUGAUCAGGCUUGGAUGUGGGAGUAUGCGGGCUUCUCAGAAGUCGGCUCUCCUGAAAUGCAUUAGCGGGACCUUUGUUGCCUGGCUUUGGUGUGAUAAUUAUCUACGCCAUUGUAGUCAAGCAGCUUAAAAUGAGGUUUCAGCUUCUAACCGUCUCCCCUGAGACAACUUUUUGACAAUUUGACCUCAAAUCAGGUAGGACUACCCGCUGAACUUAAGCAUAUCAAUAAGCGGAGGA